Non-coding RNA from Pelobates cultripes (western spadefoot toad), 1729 nucleotides. The record is from the annotation of a GenBank genome assembly. NCBI's taxonomy places the organism in Eukaryota, Metazoa, Chordata, Amphibia, Anura, Pelobatidae.
AGUUCAUUAAACAUACAAGACAUAGUUUUUAAUAGUAAACAGAUGAAACAGAUGAAAGGAGGCAAAAAUUCAACCAUGCCACUAGAAGUGGCGUUUAACAAAAAUACAUAUUACUCUGCUUUUGUACUUUGUAAGGAUAAGCAAUAGAUAUUCUCUGUCAAGGUAUCUUAACAACUGCCUGAAAUUCUUAGGUUUUUCUUCUUAACUGACUCUAUAGUGUUGUAUACUUGUGAGCAGGUUUUGUGCUAACCUAUUAAAACUAUGGAGAAUAGAGUAAUAGGUAACCUAUCAUUAACACUCAGGGGCGUACCUAGAGAAUUUGGCACCCGGGGCAAGUCCUCGUUAUGGCACCCCCCACUUUAACCCCUUAAGGACCAAACUUCUGGAAUAAAAGGGAAUCAUGACAUGUCACACGUCAUGUGUCCUUAAGGGGUUAAAAUUUAAAAAUAAACACCUACAAUUCUUUAACAUAUGUAGCACUUAGAGUUUGUACGUUUUAAUGUAAGCAUGUUUUUGUACGGAAAAUAUGUGAUUGAAUAUAGGGGUGUGUUUGUAUGUAGUGUUGGUAGAUGAUGCAAGCAUGCAUUUGUGUGUAGUGUUGGCAAGAUGCAGUGCCGUGAUUAUAUAUAAUGGUGAUGUUUUAAUACAGAGGUGUGUUUGUAGUGUUGUUUGCAUGCAGUGGUGUGAUUGUGUGUAGUGCUGUCAAGAUGCUGAGAUGUAUUUACAUAUACACAAACACAUAUAGACACACAGAGCUACACAGACACAUCGUCACAUCCCAGCUGCCAACUCACUGCAUGUCGCACACAAACUCCUAUGUAAUCCAUAAAAAAAAUGUUAAAUCUCACUGCCUUCCAGUUUAUAUUGGUCCUUGUGUGAAAGUGUGUUUGUGACAGCGUAUGUACGUGUGAAUGCAUGUGUAAUCUGUGAAUGUGAGCCUGUGUGUAAUGUGUCUAUGUGACAGUGUGGGAACAGUUGUAUGUGCCUGAGUGGGGCACAGUAGAUUGGGCCUGGGACAGUGUGUGAUAUUGCAUGGAAGAAUGUGACAUGGAGUUUUAUGUAUGUGGGUAUUACUAGCAGGAGAAGGGUAUAUGACAGAGUGGGACAGCUUGUGCAAUUGCAUACAGCAGGGUGAGUGUUACAUGGCAGACCGGGUAUUAUGUCAAGGCAGGGGUGGAUGUCAGGUUGCAUAUUAUGACAGGGAGGGUGAUGUCACUGGGUGAAUUUACAAAUAUGGGAAAAGGACAGGACAGAAAAUAGGUCUCAUAAAGGGAAAAAUCCAGCUGACAGAGCCUAACCCUAAUGAUAGAUACAAAGAAUGUUCAAAGAGAAAGGAACCAAGGGGUGUUGGAUUACCCUUGAAAAUGCAAGCAUAGCAUUAAAGAUUAAGGGAUCCCAAAGUGCCACCUCAUGAAAUUCUGUGUACAACACAAACGGUGAUAUAUAAAAGACAUAACCCUUACUUAUAUCCAAUGCUAAUGUAUGGGAAAAUCAUUAAUGCUAGGAUAAGUAAGGUGUGGUGUGUCUACUAAAUGUCUCUAAAAGAGGGGCAGAUACAAUGUUGAAGGAUGAUAGUAAUUAAAAUUCACAAAUGAGGUAACAUAUUUAUAAAUGAUCUUGAAAUAGGCAUUGAAAGCCAUGUAUCAGUGUUUGCAGAUGACACAAAACUUUGUAAAGUAAUAAAAUGUGAGCAGGAUAUUGCUUUGUUGCAGAGAGAUUUGGAUAGAUU